Non-coding RNA from Linepithema humile (Argentine ant), 3754 nucleotides. The record is from RefSeq and is a predicted model, not a curated record. Lineage: Eukaryota; Metazoa; Arthropoda; Insecta; Hymenoptera; Formicidae.
UUGGUCUACUUUGGUUCUCGCUGAUGUAGGAAAGUUGAAAUGAACGUCUUCAACGUUUAUUUGAAAGGUCACAUUCCUUUUUCCUUUCCCAAUAUUGUUUGUACUCGUACAUGCGGUUUAUCGAGGAAAGUAAAUAGAAGCCAAAAAGCAAGUUGAUCAACAGGAUGGUUAAAUGGUGAUUUUGUAAUUAAAGGCUUUAGGGCCGGCCCGUGCUGCUUGCGCUGAUUACAGGCUUGAAUUUCGGAUAUAUUUACUGCGCAUAAUUGAUUCGCAUUCAUGAUUCAGCGAUAAGGACACGAACUUUGUUUCUUCAUUAUGAUUAUGUCUUGGCCACUUACUCACAGUACAGUACAGCGCAAAGUGGUAUAUGUUGUUACUUCAUCUUGCUGCCGAACAAAUUCGGGCGUCUACGAAACGGCAGUCGAGAUUCGCCGUGAUACCCGCGAUUAAUCAUCGGGGUUCCCUGAUACACGCUUAAAGGUUGUCGGCGAAAGGGGAAGAGAAACGGUAGCCAACUCGGCCGGUCGGCCCAACCGACCAUCCGUACCGCGGCGCCAUUUUUUUGCGCCAUCCGUUAUAAUUGCCAGGGCCUUGUCACUUUUGCCGUGGCGUAGGCCCCGCAGUGAGGUACCUGGUGUGUGCGUUGCCUCGUGCCCGCUCUCUUGCACCGUGGCGGCUUCCUCAAAGCGACCAGGGGGACGAGGGAACGGACGGGUUACGAGCGGAGGACGAAGGACCAGAAACGAGGUGCACAAUGCCGACUGUCCUCGUAACUGCGGAUCUUCCUCUCGUCUCGGCGAAUCGCUUCAAACGAGACGCCGACGUACGCAACGCGCAAUGUUACAUUUUUUUUUAUUUCGCUCAGAUAAGAUUCCGGAAAGAUUCAUCUUGGCAGUAAACGUUGCAUGAAUUUAAAUUUAAAUUUCCUAAUAUUUAUCUCAAAAUAUCAUUCAAAUUAUUCAAAUAUAUUUUAGAAAAAAGUAUCGAAUUUAAUAGAUUGAACAACAUUCAGUUGUAUAUUCUUAUUGUUGGUUUAAUAUUUUUGCCAAUAAGUUCUUGGCGUAAACAACAUUUGUACUUAAUAUUUAACUGCGAAUUAAUUUUUGAUGUUACAACGGUGCUUUCGUUUCCUUUACGAAGAGGGUAACGCAUAAAAUUUAAAGGCGAUCGGUCGGCUAAGUGCCGGUAAAAACUCGUGCCUCGCCUGCGUAUUUUACGCCACUUUCUUGCGUGUACGCACGCGUGUAGGUAUCUUUCGAUUCUCUCUCGCUCUCUCUUUCUCUCUCUUCUGUUUUCAGGCCUCUCUUCAAGGACUGCUACCGCACGGAUGACCCACGACAGAGAAAGCCCGACGAGAGAAGUCCGAACGAUCGUAACACGGUAGCCAGCACGGCGACGAAAUUCCCCACAUACAAAAUAACCCGAUCAUCUUACCUCGGGGACGCCGGAUGAAAAAGGAUUUGUAGAAGCCUACUGCAAUGAAAAGAUUAGCACUAAUCCUGACUGUUGAGAAACUGGCUAAAACGGAUGUUUCACGUGUGAAACCUUUGUUAAGUACUUUUAAAAUUAUUAUUAUAGACAAUAUUAUUAUUAUUCAUUAUAUGUAAACAAAAUUUUUAAUUAUUGAGCCUGCAUCGUCGAUGGGCUCGGUAAAGUAUACUUGAAAUCAAAAUUUAAAAAACUUAUAGGUCUGAAACAACUUGAUAAAUUUUGCGCGAAUUUUACAAUCAAAAAGAUGGUGCGAGCUAAUCAGCUAAAAAUACUAUAAUCAGUUACUCAAUUCGAUAGACAUCUAUCAUCAUCGUUGAAAUAAAAUUUUCUGCUCGAUUUGAAACCUAAAUUAGGCCAGCGAAAAAAGUCUGUAUUGGGAACACUGUAAUCAGUGACUCUUUCUAUCCCCAAAAAAAAUUACCUGAGUUUCUUUAACUCGCUCGAUGAAAUCUAUUGUAUGAAAAUAAAAAGGACACGUUUAUUUGUAGCCUCAAAGCUUCGUGAAAGAUUUGAUAGAAUGUUGUUUUCAUGGAUUAUGGUAGUAAGAUAAAUUGCUCGGUAUAAAUAUAACAGCAGAAAUGGGGCUCAUAUCAACUCGCGUAAAAAGUUGCCUUCACCGAAAUUACACCGGUAUCGGCUCCCGGUUACCAGUGUACAGAAGCAUCGGGCCCAUCUAUCGACAGAGAGGGAAGGGAGAAGGCAAGAUGAAAGACGGAGCGUAUGAGAUAAAGUGGUCUCGUGAAACGUUACGAAACAACGUGGGCAGCGCCAGUAGAAAAUGGCGUGGGCCGUGACUGUCCGAGACCAGGUGGAACGUGUUUGUACAAGAUACGGACUGAUAAGCCAUCAGCGAGGCUCAAACGAGAGGGUACAAGCACGGUAUGUGGUCACCGCUUAAAGUCAGAUCAGGGAAAAUGCAUCCAUUAUGAUACAUAAGAGGACUGUGUAUCUCGGCGCACAAAAGAGGACACGCGAAAAAAGAUGAAGUACAACAAGGAUAAAAAGCGGCCCCUGCUGAUUGCGCAAAAAUUGGAAAAAGACGUUAGACCGAGGGCAGCGAGGAGUAAAUACCUGUAUGCCGAGAGGAGAGCGGCAUAAAGAAACCUGCUGUUUAUGAACUAUACAUGCCUCAUACACACCAGCUGUAAAUUACCACAUGUCCGCAAGCGUAAUGCUCGCUUUUACUAUUUCGAAGACGGCGAAGAACCUGAUGUUAGGCACCUUUGCAUGGAUUGUAUGGAAACGAGCGUGAAACGCUAUUGAGAAUAAUAUGAAAGAAUUGCGUGAAAUUAUCAAGAUAUAGUGUAUACACACAACACGACGCAACGAUCUUUGCUCAUCGUCGAUUAAUGAUACAUCCCUGGACCAGCGAAGAGCAGGAGAGGCGAAGAAGAGAGGACGAAAAAAAAAGGCAGAACUGGCAAAAGAGGCAAAACCGCGCACGUUGUGUUGCUCUCUCCUUCUGACUCCUACGUUAUCCUCGUCCAUCCUGUUCUUCUCAUCGUAUGCUGUGCUCGGCGUCGCUUCUACCGUACGAUGCGGUAAUGUACAGUACAGUAAGACAUAGUACGAUAGCGUGCGCAACCACUUUUCUCGCGUGCAAGCGCAGUCAUAGCAAUGGGACGAAGUAUUUUAUAGCAUCUUUCCGGAACUUGUCAUUAGAUCCCUAACAAUCUACGAAAAAACCUUACAUUUAUUUCAUCCACCGACUACAUGUUAAUAAUUUCCUUAACAAAUUAUUUUGUUCUCAAUUCCUUUACACUUGGGAUGAUUUCUGUCGUUUUAGUUUGUGAAAUAUUUAGAAGCAUUUAACGUAUCAGAGCGAAUUAAUCUUAAAAAAAAUUUAAAAUAUUUGAACGCUAAGUUGUUUUGUAAACACCUCGAUCAAUCCCAUCACUAUGGCGUUGGCGUGUCCUGCCGUAGCGCAGAUAUAGCGAUGCGCCGAGUAAAGCUGAUAACCAGCGGAUGUCAAGGUCCCCCUCCGACGAAAGCUCAGGCUGUUUUGUCAACGGUUCGCGCGCAUUUACUAAUCCGUGCCAAUCUAUGCGCUGUCACCUGCAAACACGGCUAAUUCUCAAUUUGUUAGAUGUGCGUUUUGCGUUAAUCAAAAUCUCAUUAGAAGCGGCAAGCAAUUUUUUGUUUAGCUAAGACUUGUUUAUCGUAUGUAUCAAGUCAUUGCUUGCGUUAACGAUUUUAAGCAUAGUGUUAAGAAAAAGCGAGUACAACUGUAUAAGUUAAUAGAAUACAUAGAAUACAGACGAAA